CCGAGUUUUCGAGCUCCGGCUCGACUCUCCCACCCUUUGUGAACGUACCUCUGUUGCUUUGGCGGCUCCGGCCGCCAAAGGACCUUCAAACUCCAGUCAGUAAACGCAGACGUCUGAUAAACAAGUUAAUAAACUA
RNAcentral lists this unclassified non-coding RNA (136 nucleotides) under Lasiodiplodia sp. RM2. Its description in RNAcentral is "ITS1". The record is from RNAcentral. Lineage: Eukaryota; Fungi; Ascomycota; Dothideomycetes; Botryosphaeriales; Botryosphaeriaceae.